CCUACGGGAGGCAGCAGUGAGGAAUAUUGGUCAAUGGACGAGAGUCUGAACCAGCCAAGUAGCGUGAAGGAUGACUGCCCUAUGGGUUGUAAACUUCUUUUAUAUGGGGAUAAAACGUUCCACGUGUGGGAUUUUGUAUGUACCAUAUGAAUAAGGAUCGGCUAACUCCGUGCCAGCAGCCGCGGUAAUCCGGAGGAUCCGAGCGUUAUCCGGAUUUAUUGGGUUUAAAGGGAGCGUAGGUGGAUUGUUAAGUCAGUUGUGAAAGUUUGCGGCUCAACCGUAAAAUUGCAGUUGAAACUGGCAGUCUUGAGUACAGUAGAGGUGGGCGGAAUGCGUGGUGUAGCGGUGAAAUGCUUAGAUAUCACGAAGAACUCCGAUUGCGAAGGCAGUUCACUGGACUGCAACUGACACUGAGGCUCGAAAGUGUGGGUAUCAAACAGGAUUAGAUACCCGUGUAGUC
RNAcentral lists this ribosomal RNA (460 nucleotides) under uncultured bacterium. RNAcentral's name for it is "partial 16S ribosomal RNA". It matches the Rfam family "Bacterial small subunit ribosomal RNA", at positions 338 to 795 of the family's 1533-position model. The record is from RNAcentral.